ACUGCCCCUAGAGGUGUUGCAGGUGUGGCUGCCGUAUCGUAGGUGCCUUAGUAUGUGGGGGAGAGGAGAGAGGCUAUUUCCAUGCUCAGCGCUCUGACUGUGAACAUCCGAAUGAUUAGCAGCCUAACACU
This is a small nucleolar RNA of Meriones unguiculatus (Mongolian gerbil), 131 nucleotides long. Lineage: Eukaryota; Metazoa; Chordata; Mammalia; Rodentia; Muridae. The record is from Ensembl.